RNAcentral lists this ribosomal RNA (305 nucleotides) under uncultured bacterium. RNAcentral describes it as "partial 16S ribosomal RNA". It matches the Rfam family "Bacterial small subunit ribosomal RNA", at positions 505 to 807 of the family's 1533-position model. The record is from RNAcentral.
ACAGCAGCAGCCGCGGUAAUACGGAGGGUGCAAGCGUUAAUCGGAAUUACUGGGCGUAAAGCGUGCGUAGGCGGUUCGUUAAGUCUGUUGUGAAAGCCCCGGGCUCAACCUGGGAAUGGCAAUGGAUACUGGCGAGCUAGAGUGUGUCAGAGGAUGGUGGAAUUCCCGGUGUAGCGGUGAAAUGCGUAGAGAUCGGGAGGAACAUCAGUGGCGAAGGCGGCCAUCUGGGACAACACUGACGCUGAGGCACGAAAGCGUGGGGAGCAAACAGGAUUAGAUACCCCGGUAGUCCCUGUCUCUUAUAC